UUUAAUGGGAGAGAAGUUGCUUUAAUCUCACAAGGACUUCCAGCUGAGCUGGGCUUUGCGUGGUGAUACAAAGCAGCACCUGCUGGGUGGGAGGUGCAGAAGUGGCCAAGUGCUGGGAGGCUGGAUGGGAAUGGAGGGUGGCUCAGAAAUGAGGGGCUGGAGGCUUGUUUUUCCCUCUUUGCAGAGAGAGGUGAAGGUCAGGAGCUGCAGGAGCCAAAUUUCACAUGAGCAGCCUCGGCAGGGCAGCCGGGCUGAGCAGGCAGCGAGCACUCGGCCCAGGCAGGGGUGCAAAGCCCAUCGAGGAGGCUGCUGCAGGGAAAGGACCAUCUAUGCAGCUCAGCCAGGCAGGGCCAGCUCCUCCAAGUCCUGCUGGAGAAGAAUAAUGUCUUCUCUCCACCCAGGUCUCCCAUGCUCUUGGUGCUUGCUCUCCAGCACAUCGGUGCACCCAGAGGAGAGGCAGAGCUCAAGGAGAGGCUGAAGGCUGGCUGCCCAAAGGGGAUGCUGAGCACAGAGUCCUGGGGAGCGGGGCUGCUGCUCCUGGUGGCUCGGGGCUCGGCAGACCGAGGAAGGGAAGGAGCCCACGUGGG
Cygnus olor (mute swan) is the source of this 587-nucleotide long non-coding RNA. RefSeq lists it as uncharacterized. The transcript is spliced from 3 exons. Lineage: Eukaryota; Metazoa; Chordata; Aves; Anseriformes; Anatidae. The record is from RefSeq and is a predicted model, not a curated record.